RNAcentral lists this ribosomal RNA (465 nucleotides) under uncultured Klebsiella sp. Its description in RNAcentral is "bacterial SSU rRNA". It matches the Rfam family "Bacterial small subunit ribosomal RNA", at positions 338 to 795 of the family's 1533-position model. Lineage: Bacteria; Pseudomonadati; Pseudomonadota; Gammaproteobacteria; Enterobacterales; Enterobacteriaceae. The record is from RNAcentral.
CCUACGGGAGGCAGCAGUGGGGAAUAUUGCACAAUGGGCGCAAGCCUGAUGCAGCCAUGCCGCGUGUGUGAAGAAGGCCUUCGGGUUGUAAAGCACUUUCAGCGGGGAGGAAGGCGGUGAGGUUAAUAACCUCAUCGAUUGACGUUACCCGCAGAAGAAGCACCGGCUAACUCCGUGCCAGCAGCCGCGGUAAUACGGAGGGUGCAAGCGUUAAUCGGAAUUACUGGGCGUAAAGCGCACGCAGGCGGUCUGUCAAGUCGGAUGUGAAAUCCCCGGGCUCAACCUGGGAACUGCAUUCGAAACUGGCAGGCUAGAGUCUUGUAGAGGGGGGUAGAAUUCCAGGUGUAGCGGUGAAAUGCGUAGAGAUCUAGAGGAAUACCGGUGGCGAAGGCGGCCCCCUGGACAAAGACUGACGCUCAGGUGCGAAAGCGUGGGGAGCAAACAGGAUUAGAUACCCGGGUAGUC